RNAcentral lists this ribosomal RNA (292 nucleotides) under uncultured bacterium. RNAcentral describes it as "partial 16S ribosomal RNA". It matches the Rfam family "Bacterial small subunit ribosomal RNA", at positions 505 to 796 of the family's 1533-position model. The record is from RNAcentral.
GUGUCAGCAGCCGCGGUAAAACGGAGGGUGCAAGCGUUGUUCGGAAUUACUGGGCGUAAAGCGCGUGCAGGUGGUUUUUUAAGUUUCGUGUGAAAGCCCACGGCUCAACCGUGGAACUGCACGGAAAACUGAAAAACUAGAGUACGGGAGAAGAGGGCGGAAUUCCCAGUGUAGAGGUGAAAUUCGUAGAUAUUGGGAGGAACACCGGUGGCGAAAGCGGCUCUCUAGACCGAUACUGACACUCAUACGCGAGAGCGUGGGUAGCAAACAGGAUUAGAUACCCUGGUAGUCC